Cricetulus griseus (Chinese hamster) is the source of this 107-nucleotide small nuclear RNA. The record is from Ensembl. Lineage: Eukaryota; Metazoa; Chordata; Mammalia; Rodentia; Cricetidae.
GUGUUCCAUUUGGCAACACAUACACUAAAAUUGGAACAAUACAGAGGUGAUUAACUUGGCCCCUGCACAAGUGUGACACGAAAAUUCAUGAAGCAGUCCAUGCUUUU